ACGGAGCGAAAGCGACGUUCAACCGCAAAACAAGCAGAGGGGGCUUAGUGGUGGGGUGACUGCGUACCUUUUGUAUAAUGGGUCAGCGACUUAUAUUCUGUAGCAAGGUUAACCGAAUAGGGGAGCCGGAGGGAAACCGAGUCUUAAUUGGGCGUUAAGUUGCAGGGUAUAGACCCGAAACCCGGUGAUCUAGCCAUGGGCAGGUUGAAGGUUGGGUAACACUAACUGGAGGACCGAACCGACUAAUGUUGAAAAAUUAGCGGAUGACCUGUGGCUGGGGGUGAAAGGCCAAUCAAACCGGGAGAUAGCUGGUUCUCCCCGAAAGCUAUUUAGGUAGCGCCUCGUGAAUUCAUCUCCGGGGGUAGAGCACUGUUUCGGCUAGGGGGCCAUCCCGGCUUACCAACCCGAUGCAAACUGCGAAUACCGGAGAAUGUUAUCACGGGAGACACACGGCGGGUGCUAACGUCCGUCGUGAAGAGGGAAACAACCCAGACCGCCAGCUAAGGUCCCAAAGUCAUGGUUAAGUGGGAAACGAUGUGGGAAGGCCCAGACAGCCAGGAUGUUGGCUUAGAAGCAGCCAUCAUUUAAAGAAAGCGUAAUAGCUCACUGGUCGAGUCGGCCUGCGCGGAAGAUGUAACGGGGCUAAACCAUGCACCGAAGCUGCGGCAGCGAACGUAUCACCCAAGACAACUUUACGGAGUUGACGAUUGACGGAGCGAAGCGACGUCAAAGCGUUCAUUAAAGUCGAGUUGGCUUAGGGAUACGUUCGUUGGGUAGGGGAGCGUUCUGUAAGCCUGUGAAGGUGUGUCGUGAGGC
Molecule: ribosomal RNA, 816 nt
Filed under: Salmonella enterica subsp. enterica
Lineage: Bacteria; Pseudomonadati; Pseudomonadota; Gammaproteobacteria; Enterobacterales; Enterobacteriaceae
Description: partial 23S ribosomal RNA
Rfam family: Bacterial large subunit ribosomal RNA
Source: RNAcentral